This 468-nucleotide ribosomal RNA is filed under the name uncultured bacterium. Its description in RNAcentral is "partial 16S ribosomal RNA". It matches the Rfam family "Bacterial small subunit ribosomal RNA", at positions 28 to 507 of the family's 1533-position model. The record is from RNAcentral.
GACGAACGCUGGCGGCGUGCUUAACACAUGCAAGUCGAACGGAAAGGCCCUGCUUUUGUGGGGUGCUCGAGUGGCGAACGGGUGAGUAACACGUGAGUAACCUGCCCUUGACUUUGGGAUAACUUCAGGAAACUGGGGCUAAUACCGGAUAGGAGCUCCUGCUGCAUGGUGGGGGUUGGAAAGUUUCGGCGGUUGGGGAUGGACUCGCGGCUUAUCAGCUUGUUGGUGGGGUAGUGGCUUACCAAGGCUUUGACGGGUAGCCGGCCUGAGAGGGUGACCGGGCGCAGGGGGACUAGGGGACGGAGCAGAGGGAAGCGGGAGGCAGGAGUGGGGGAUGGGGCGGGACGGGCGGGAGGCGGAAGCGGGAGCGCCGCGUGAGGGAUGACGGGCGGCGGGGGGGAAAACGCUUUGGCGUGUGAAGGAGCGGGAGGGAAGGGAAUGGGUAAAGAAGCACCGGAUAACUACAGG